Molecule: ribosomal RNA, 1476 nt
Filed under: uncultured Bordetella sp.
Lineage: Bacteria; Pseudomonadati; Pseudomonadota; Betaproteobacteria; Burkholderiales; Alcaligenaceae
Description: partial 16S-23S ribosomal RNA intergenic spacer
Rfam family: Bacterial small subunit ribosomal RNA
Source: RNAcentral
GGUUCGAUCCCGGCUCAGAUUGAGCGCUGGUGGGAUGUGCUUUACACAUGCAGCCGAACGGCAGCACGGACUUCGGUCUGGUGGCGAGUGGCGAACGGGUGAGUAAUGUAUCGAACGUGCCUAGUAGCGGGGGAUAAUCUACGCGAAAGCGUAGCUAAUACCGCAUACGCCCUUCGGGGGAAAGCGGGGGACCUUCGGCCUCGCACUAUUAGAGCGGCCGAUAUCGGAUUAGCUAGUUGGUGGGGUAACGGCUCACCAAGGCGACGAUCCGUAGCUGGUUUGAGAGGACGACCAGCCACACUGGGACUGGAGACACGGCCCAGACUCCUACGGGAGGCAGCAGUGGGGAAUUUUGGACAAUGGGGGAAACCCUGAUCCAGCCAUCCCGCGUGUGCGAUGAAGGCCUUCGGGUUGUGGAAGCACUUUUGGCAGGAAGAAACGGCACGGGAUAACACCGUGCAACUGACGGUACCUGCAGAAUAAGCACCGGCUAACUACGUGCCAGCAGCCGCGGUAAUACGUAGGGUGCAAGCGUUAAUCGGAAUUACUGGGCGAAGCGUGCGCAGGCGGUUCGAAAGAAAGAUGUGAAAUCCCAGAGCUUAACUUUGGAACUGCAUUUUUAACUACCGAGCUAGAGUGUCAGAGGGAGGAAUUCCGCGUGUAGCAGGAAAUGCGUAGAUAUACGGAGGAACACCGAUGGCGAAGGCAGCCUCCUGAUAACACUGACGCUCAUGCACGAAAGCGUGGGAGCAAACAGGAUUAGAUACCCUGGUAGUCCACGCCCCAAACGAUGUCAACUUAGCUGUUGGGGCCCUUCGGGCCUUGGUAGCGCAGCUAACGCGUGAAGUUGACCGCCUGGGAGUACGGUCGCAAGAUUAAAACUCAAAGGAAUUGACGGGGACCCGCACAAGCGGUGGAUGAUGUGGAUUAAUUCGAUGCAACGCGAAAACCUUACCUACCCUUGACAUGUCUGAAUCCCGAAGAGAUUGGGAGUGCUCGCAAGAGAACCGGAACACAGGUGCUUUACGGCUGUCGUCAGCUCGUGUCGUGAGAUGUUGGGUUAAGUCCCGCAACGAGCGCAACCCUUGUCAUUAGUUGCUACGAAAGGGCACUCGACGAGAGACUGCAGCCGGUGACAAACCGGAGGAAGGUGGGGAUGACGUCAAGUCCUCAUGGCCCUUAUGGGUAGGGCUUCACACGUCAUACAAUGGUCGGGCGAGGGUCGCCAACCCGCGAGGGGGAGCCAAUCCCAGAAACCCGAUCGUAGUCCGGAUCGCAGUCUGCAACUCAGACUGCGUGAAGUCGGAAUCGCUAGUAAUCGCGGAUCAGCAUGUCGCGGUGAAUACGUUCCCGGGUCUUGUACACACCGCCCGUCACACCAUGGGAGUGGGUUUUACCAGAAGUAGCCAGCCUAACCGUAAGGAGGGCGAUUACCACGGUAGGAUUCAUGACUGGGGUGAAGUCGUAACAAGGUAG